This 2948-nucleotide long non-coding RNA is filed under the name Sus scrofa (pig). RNAcentral describes it as "lncRNA (ENSSSCG00065077052.1)". The record is from RNAcentral. Lineage: Eukaryota; Metazoa; Chordata; Mammalia; Artiodactyla; Suidae.
ACCCAGGAGGGGUCUGUGUCCUGUGUUUCUCGUGGCCCCGCCAACCCAGGAAGAGUGGUCUUUAAGAGCGUGUUGGAUUCUGUGGGACUCGGAAGAGGUGCCUGAACUUCCCUGUGCUUUUGAAGUCAAGGGACUCCUCCCAGUGAUUAGGAGCAGUGGAACCGUCCGGAUCCUGCCCUUGGUCCAUGCCUUUGGCCUUUGGUCAUGUAGUGGCGGCCCUUUGGGCUCUGCCAUUUGUGUUUCAGAUCAUCAGUUCUGCUAUGUGAAUGGGCAGGACUCUCCAUCGCCUUGGCAAGACAAGGUGCUCCUCGUCCAGGAAGUGUUAGGAGUCCUAGGAGCCAGCUCCUCCCAUGGGAUGUGGGCUCCCGAUGGAGGACAGAGUCUCUUCAGGGCCCUCCUGGGCUGCUGAAAUGGUCCAAGAAAACCCUUCAAGUUGACUUCCCUUCUCUAAUAUUCAAUUUUCUUGUCCAUCCAGUGGAAGAGUUGGAGUUGAUACUUGAUCCAUUUCAGCUCUAACUUACUAAAGUCUGUGAUGGCUCUGGACCUUCAUGUUUCAGGACCAGGCCUGGUCCUUCUCAGCUCUCACACUGAAGCCUCAGAACCAGCCUCACUUGGAGGGUGGUCUUCAGCUCCCAGCCAAAAGCCUCGCUUGAACCUCCUCACACUUCAAAGACAAGGAUGGUACCCGCAUGCCACUCAGCCCUUGGAAGGGAGAAACAGUUUGGCAAAGGCCACAGAAUGGACCUCGUCUCCUUACACCGAGCCCAGGGCUCCAUUUAGCAGCCACCUUUCCACCCCCACCCCCAUCUCCUCCCCUCACCCCGAUAUGCAUCUACAUGGCUGCAAACAAGAGCAGCCAAGUGUAGGACCUCCACCCACUGCCAUCAGCAGACACUCAAGUGGACAGGCUGGACUGGAGAACAAGAACAAGAAAGAGAGUUCAGAAGAAGGUCACCAGAGGCUUGAAACGGAUUGACCAAACUUGACAGUGGGACCACGACUCAUAAAAGGGUGUUGUGAAGCCAGAUCAACUCAAUGACCCCCAAAGAAACUGCGGACUUCAAGAAACUUGCAUGACUUCAGCUUCAGAAAUACUCUUCCAUGGUGUAGAAAACACACCGCCCCCAAUACCCUGCCCACAGUGGGAUUCCUUAUUCUGUCCUUCUCGUGCCAGAAGAAUGACCUCCAGUGCUUCUACCCUUUAAACACUUUUGCCAGAAACCCGAAUUCAUGAAAAGCGUGUUUAUCGCUUCACAGUUUUACGCAUUUUGUUAAAUGUGAAAGUCAGAACAAAGCAUCAAAAUACGUCUAUAGAGCUCCUGUCGUGGCUCAGGGGUUAAUGAAUCCACCUAGGAACCAUGAGGUUGCAGGUUCGAUCCCUGGCCUCGCUCAGUGGGUUAAGGAUCCAGUGUUGCCGUGAGCUGUGGUGUAGGUCCCAGAUGCGGCUCAGAUCUGGCGUUGCUGUGGCUCUGAUGUAGACCGGUGGCUACAGCUCCGAUUCAACCCCUAGCCAGGGAACCUCCAUAUGCCACAGGUGCUGCUGCCCUAGAAAGACCAAAAAAAAAAAAAGUGUAUAACAUUAAUGAAUACUUUUGUACUAUUAGCCCUCACCUUGAAACAUCGUUAGAAAUUUUCGUCUUUGUUUUUAACCAGAAAGAAGAGCUGAGAGAUUCUGUUUGGGUUCUGAUUACUGUUCAUCACAAAUGUGAUAAUGAGGAUGACCUCCGUUAAGAUGGGUCUCGUCUGACUGAUGGGUGAGGGAUGUUGAGAGGAGGCUGGACCUGGAGCAGAAGAAGAUGGGGGGUGGGGAGAAGGGCAUAAGAUGCGAGCCAGCCACAUCGCAUGGCUACUCAACCAGCCCCUCUGCCUCCCAACAGCUGGAGUUAAUAUUUAAUGAAGAUUUUUAUAUGAUAACAUGUAAAUUCAGAGUUGCAAAAUUUUCUUUAACCCUGAAUUAGAAUAUGCUACUGGUAUUUCUCAAGACCUGCCAGGAACAGGCAUUCCACCUGUUAAUGUGAAUUACGACCAUCUGAGUUGUCCCUGUGUAUAGGAGAGUAGGGUCUCUAAAUAGAGCUGAGAGGGCCUAAGACACAGCCCACGCUGCUAUCCCACUCCACCAAUGCAGCCCUUGCCUCAGCUGCCUCAAGGGCUUUUUUUUGUUUGUUUGUUUGUUCGUUUUUUGGUUUUUUUGCUUUUUAGGGCUGCACCUGUGGCAUAUGGAGGCUCCCAGGCUAGGGGGUCAAACUGGAACUACAGCUGCAGGCCUACACCACAGCCAUAGCAACGCAGGAUCCGAGCUGCAUCUGCGACCUAUACUGCAGCUCAUGGCAGCACAAGAUCCUUAACCCACUGAGCAAGGCCAGGGAUCGAACCUGCAAUCUCAUGGUUCCUAGUUGGAUACAUUUCCACUGCACCAUGAUGGGAACUCCUUUAAUGGCAUUUUGAGGACGUGUUUUUAAAUAUCCUCAAUAAUGGACUAAAGAAUUGGUGGCCCAGCAGUUAAGGGAUCUGUCAUUGUCACUGCUGUGGCUCGGGUUUGAUCCCUGGCCUGGGAACUUCCACUUGCCCACAAUGUGGCCAAGAUAAAGGAAGAAAUACUUAUUUUUUAAUGGUGGCCAUGAUGUGGCGAGGCAACCAGCAAGAGUUUUCUUUUUAGGGCUGCACCUGCAGCAUAUGGAAGUUCCCAGGCUAGGGGUCGAAUUGGAGCUGUAGCUGCCAGCCUACGCCUCAGCCACAGCAACGCCACAUCCAAGCCAUGUCUUCAACCUACACGACAACUCACAGAAAUGCUGGAUCUUUAACCCACUGACGGGGGCCAGGGAUCGAACCACAUCCUCAUGGAUAUUAGUUGGCUUCGUUACUGCUGAGCCACAGUGGGAACUCACAGCCAGAGCUCUUUCUGAGUAGUGGUCAGCGUCACUGGAAUAAAUCAAAACCUGCACAUGGCA